UUGUAACCUUUAGCAACUAAUCUAGCUUUGUGUGUGAACACAUUUUCAUGUUUGAUGGUUUUUAUCCUUAAAACAAACUUGCAACCAACACUAGAGGAAAAAUGCUUAUAAGUUGCUCAUCAAAAGUUGCCCUUAUUAAACAAGGGCAACCUUUAUAAACAAAAAAAUUAUAAAAAUAAAAAUAAAUUAAAAUCUCAACUUUCCCUCAAAACAAACGCAACCUUUAACCUAGGAUAAAAAAAAAAAAAAAGAACAAACACUGCUCUCCUUCAUUGCUCGAUCACACACUCGCUCCCUGCAACCAGACGAUGCCAUCUCCCUGCUGAGUGCUGACCGGCGAAGCCACCGGCGCUCUCAUCCUUCUCAGGUGACCGGCGAAACCACACUCACACACUCGCACCCUCUCUCCUCCUUCUCAGGCGAAACCACCAUCGGAACUCCGUCAUCCCCCACGCACCAGCCGUCUGCCGGCAUCAAAAGGGCUUUUCUUCAUUUCCGUUUCUCUCACCUCAAGUGAUGUAACAUCUACAGGAACUAGUGACCAAAGUGGUCUUGAUCGUGAUAAAGAUGGAGCCUAUGUAUGCGAUCCAUUAACUUGAAAAGCGAAAGGAUUUUAAUUGCAGAGUCUGAAACUGCUAUUGAGAAGGAAAAGUCAACUUUGGUAAAGAAGAAAUUAAGAAGAAGGAAAAUCAACUUGAAAACAUGUCUUUGAAGCUUGAGGAAAUGGAAAGCUUUGCUUUUGGAACUAACUGUAUAUUAAGUGAGCUGCGACAGCGGGUUAAAGACUUGGUUGACGAGACAUCUAGGCUAGAGCUGCGGAAAACGAGCAGGAACUUUCUCGUGUAAAGCGUGAUUUUGAGUCUCUGAAAUCAUAUGUCAGUAGUCUCAUCAGUGUAAGAGAAACACUCAUUUCGUAUGGGAAACAAUUCCAAACUAUUGAAAAGCUCUUUGAAAGAUGGAUUGUUCAUUUCUGAAUUGGCAGACCCGUAGUGACGCAAGAGAAUAACUAGACUUGUUACUAAACAUUUAUUAAGACUAAUUCUUCCUGGGUUUUACUGAUAAUAACCCUCGAAUGAUACACCUUCAUUGCUCGAUGAUAAAUCCCUGAUCUCAGUCAAAGCAAGAGAUUCAGCAGCCUUAGCAGCAUCCUCAAGCUUCUUGGCAACAACCCAUCUCAUUUCUAUCACUUUAAGGCUUGUUUUUGUCUGCUCUACAUCUGACAUUGCCUUCAGAACUUCUGAUCUAGCUGCUUCAGCUGUCUGCAUAAACUGAUCAGCCUCAAAAUUCAGCUCUCUAAGCUCUCUUGAGAUAGCUAAUGGGUUAAACGCUUCAUUCCUAACUUUCAUUUCAUGUCUACCUUCAUUGACAGCACUCGAAGGUUGCAGUUCAACUGAGGCUUUCUCCCUGUCCAUUUUUUGGUGAGAGCCUCAACAGACUGUUACAAUCACUACAAGAAAAUGACUAUUUAGCGACGGAUUUUUGUAACCGUACAAAUGUCGGUUGCUAAAUUACUACUGGUCAAGUGUCAGUCGCCACUUUGGUACGGAAGUAUUUUCGGUCCAUAUUUAGCUUCGGAUUAUCAUUCAGUCACAACAAUCUGUAACAAAUUACCUACCAAGCAUACGUUGGUCACUAAUUAUUUACUGAAAUAAUUUUAGUCACUAUUUAAUUACGCACAAAAUUUCAGUCACAAAUUUUAGUCACUAAAUAGUUACAGAAAUACUUUUUAGUCACUAUUUUGAUAUAGAACAAUUUCAAUCCCCAUAUAGCGACAGACACGAUUUCAGUCGCAAUACGUUAGUCACAAAACAAGGACUAGCUAAUUUUCUGUCACUUAUUAGUUACAGUUAAUGUUCUGUCACAAAUUCCAGUCGCAAUUUUAUUACCAACUAAAUUUCAGUCACUAAUUAAACAUUGAAUAACUUAUGGUCCCUAUUCCACUACGAAGAUAAUAUUGACUAUAAAUUUUUGAUUGAAAUAAGACAUGAGUGUGCUUGUACGUACUGUAGGCACAAAAAAUUUGUCCACGUGCCACGUUGGAUAUUAUUUGGGUCAAAAGUCAAAGUAUUGACUCGAAAAUCAUUUGACGAUUUAUUAAAUUAAUUGAUUUGGAUUCUCAUAUUAAUUUAGCCAAUUUUAGUUAUUUUAAUAAAACCCAGAUAUUUUUAAUGCUUAAACCUGACAAAAUAGGUUAAACUGCUAUAAACGGGUCAUGACUAUUAAGUCCGAUUCAAGAAGCCCAAAACACAUAAAACCCUAAAACCUCUUGCACUCUAUAAAUACAAGAUUUC
Molecule: long non-coding RNA, 2291 nt
Organism: Spinacia oleracea (spinach)
Lineage: Eukaryota; Viridiplantae; Streptophyta; Magnoliopsida; Caryophyllales; Amaranthaceae
Exons: 4
Source: RefSeq, a predicted model, not a curated record